Molecule: signal recognition particle RNA, 264 nt
Filed under: Lachnospiraceae bacterium
Lineage: Bacteria; Bacillati; Bacillota; Clostridia; Lachnospirales; Lachnospiraceae
Description: signal recognition particle sRNA large type
Rfam family: Bacterial large signal recognition particle RNA
About the family: The signal recognition particle (SRP) is a universally conserved ribonucleoprotein involved in the co-translational targeting of proteins to membranes.
Source: RNAcentral
CCGUGCAGCCGGGGUGUUAGCGGUACCUUGAACCUGCAAUCCGCUAUAGCAGGGGUGAUGUUACGUUGAGGGCUUUCUUUUUAUGGCAGUCCCCGAGAUUCGGUGUUGAAAAGUCGGGUCUUACGCGGCGGAAGUCCGCGAACCGCGUCAGGUCGGGAACGAAGCAGCGCUAAACGGAAAUCUCCGGGCGCCGUAAGGGUGCCUGAUUUGAGCCGAUUUAUCGGGGGAACACCAUAGGAAGCGUGUUCGAGGCGUAACGCACGG